CACAUUUGGGGAAAUGUCUUUAUUGAUAUAGUGGUAUUAUAUUGACUAUUGGUAGACAGUCAAACAUUUUAGAAUCUUCUGGAAAGUGCAACAAAACAAAAGUAUCCACAGCAAACAUCACUCCAAAGUUAAUGGACGCACUCAGAGGGAAUGGCUAAAUUUGUGCAGAAAAAUAAAAUGUUACAUUGUUUUAUAGUUGGCAUUAAGACAAUACCAAUGGAGAGUCUGCAUUUAUUAUCAUUCUCUUCUUUGACAGAUCUGAUCAAAUAAAAUAGGUGUGGCUUAAAGAAUUUACUAAGAAUGUACAUUUGAUAGAAUAAAAUAUAAUAAAAUAAAACAAUUAAGAAAAUAUCUAGUGGUGCAACUGAAAACAACAUGAGUUUGUUGUUCCCCAGAAUGUAAUCUAAAAAAACCAACAAAAUUGAAUGUAGAUAGACUAGAUUUGACCAAAUGAAAUAACAAAAAAAAAGCAUAAAAAAAUAGAUGUCUAAAAAAGGUUAUCAAUGAAUUUCAACUAAUGUAUUUAAUAAUGUAUAUAAUGUAUAAGAAUGUAGUUUUUGUUAAGAAUGUCACAAUGAUUUUUGGUAAACAUUUUUAAUGGUAGAUAACCAAACUUGUUCUUGAAAACUACAGUCAACCCUCCUAAUCUCAAACUCUGAUAGAAGUUAGCUUAAAGGUUUGGAAAUUUUAACCACCCAAGAAUGAAUGCUACUAAACAUGAAUUGCAUUAUCUAGUACUAGGACAUCAUUUGAAUGCAUUCAUAGUUAGCUGAUGGAUUUAUAACUGAAAUAAGUUUGAUCUCAUUAAUGAUCUUUUUUUUAAAACUUUGGAUAAACUAAACAAUUUAGUCUGUCCUAUAAAUUUGAUACAUUUAAAAAAAAAAAUUCAAAUGAAAUUGAUCAGAAUUUUUUCAGAAAGUUCAUUUAAUUUUGAGAGUACUGGAUUUCUUAUCAUCUACAGUUUGCUGAAAAAUUUUUAACAAACAAACAAAAAAAAAAAAAAAAACAAAAC
Molecule: non-coding RNA, 1012 nt
Organism: Biomphalaria pfeifferi
Lineage: Eukaryota; Metazoa; Mollusca; Gastropoda; Planorbidae
Source: the annotation of a GenBank genome assembly